CCGUGGCCACCACCAUAUCCAUCAGGUUUCACAGUUUCCUCACUCUCUGAGUUCACCGUGCCUAUCCCAAAAGCGAAACCACAUUAUUUUAUAAAUAUUGUUAGUACGUACAAAUGUGCAUUCCUCUCCCCAAUUUCAUAAUUAAAUUUCUCUUAAAAACUUUCUAAAAUAUGUAUAUAAUUCCGAUCUCUAGUUAUAAAAAAAAUGAGUUCAACAUUAAAUAUACGUUUUAUAUAAAUUGGCGUCAAGCAUCUAAAUAGUUUGGGAGGGUCUAAUAGGUAUAAGAGCAUGUACAUCAGUGAACCCUUAAAAGAGGGGUUUAACAGAAUAUAAUAACAUUUUUUUUUUGUUUUAGUUUUUUUUUUUUUUAAUUCGAAAAUUAUAAUUUUCGACCAUGUUUUAUUUGGGAUGAUACCGUCUCUUCAGGUUCGUCGGGAUGAUACUGUCUCUUUAAUAUUAAGAUCUUUUGUCUCAAAAACCGUGCCAUGAACCCCUCUUGAUCCUCUGAUGUAGAUGCUCUAAGAAGGACUAAACGUCAUAAGUAAGCGUAAGUGUCUUUUCUUACUAGGACAUCAACAUGAUACUUAAGUGUGUUUAUGACUUAGUGAGUCCAAAUAAUUGACCAUCGUUCACCCCAACUUUUCGCAUUUAAAACGGACGAGAUAGUUGGACAAAAUUAUCAAAUGGUACGUUAGUCCGGUUAGAUUAGCUUCACGAUAAUUUUUUUGUUUUCUAUAAAAUAAUUUUACGUACCCGACUGCCUUGCUGAGACGACGAGAAGAAAUGCAAACACACCCAACAGAAGCAAAGUCUUGGAAGCCAUUUUCUUCAAACUGCUUAUAACACUUUUAAUUUGUAUAUAUGGAGAAAGAAGUGAUGAAUAAAAUGUUAGCCUGCAUGCUCUCUAUUUAAGGAAAACGAGGAGGGCAGAAUGAGGAAAAGUCAAAUAAAUAAUUCGUAGUGCAGUGAAAAGAAGUAUUUUUUUAAUUAAAAGCAAAAGGGAGAUUUAGUGUAUCACAAAAUUUAGAGAAAUUGCAUUGUUUGCAGAUAAAGACACACUUUUUAGUAGCAAAUAAAUAAAACUAUAUUUCUUUGCGCAAGCGAACAAAAGGGAGUUGUAUUAUUCUAGAAGAGUUUAGAUCUAAUUUAUACCCCCCAAAAAAUAUAGUUUAGAUAUCUUUAUCUGUAUCAUGCAAUCUUUCUUUGUAAACAUCUUGAAUAGAGUUAAUAUAUGUUACGUGAUUUAUAUUAGAUUGCAUGAAACAAAAAAUACGUGAAACAAAGUGUUUCGAAAAGGAUAACAAUUUUAAAAAUGAUAGGAAACGUUUGCUUUCGGAAACAUAUAUUAUAUAUAAAACAUCAAAAUCAUAUGAAAAACAAAACGAAACAUUAAAACCAAACGAACUUUAAUACUUAUAUAUCAAACAGAUAAAUAAAGAUACAAAUCCAAACGUGGUAAGAAGAUAACGAAAUUUUCAUAUUUUCGAAUUUACUUCAUCUAUCCUACAAAUAAGAUGGUAAGACGAUCGAUAAGUAUGAUCAAAGUAUAUCUGUAUCCGUUGCGUCGAUUCCCAUAUGGUGGGUUGUUGGAUUGUGAUUUGUGAAAAACUUUAACCUCAAUAGUCUUUUAGAUAUUUCUUAUCAACGUCUUUAAACAUAGGAACCAUCGGACAAGUAUUGAACUAUUGAUAUGUAAGAAUUACAUUAUUGGCCAUAACUGGUAUUAUUGUUACAUUAUUAUUACUAUAAUUUGGACACAAAAUUAGUCCACUAUUUGUACUUUAACUCUUUAAGGAUCUUCUUUGAAAAUCUCAGCCGACAGGUUUUUAAGCAGACGGAUAAAGAAUUAAUACGAAGUAAUUACUAAGAACUUACCUUUAAAGGGUGAAAUUUUGCUUGGCUAUAAUUUAUUCAGGCCUACAUCGAUAAAAAAAAAUAAAAAUCAUUCCAGUGACCUAAGUGUAAAGGAGCUUGAGAUAUACGUGUUGAGAAGAUGAGCAUUAUUAAGUGUACAGAAUGUAGCUGCCGUCCUAAUUAUAAUAAAAUAGAAGUUAAUCCGCACAUUGUAAGGGAUAAUGUUUUUUUAAUUAUUUUUAAAUUUAAUUUAAUUUUUUUUAGUUAAAUUAAAAUUGGUGGCAAAAAUAUUUUAACAAAAAAUAUAAAUAAACAAAAUUAAUAAAAAUUAAAUAAUAUAUAUAUAUAAAUAUCACACAACCGAUAUUUAUUUGUAUAUAUAUAUAUAUUAUAGAGUAUGACUUUGAGCUAAUUUUGUUAUGCAGUUUAAUUAUUCAUAAAAUAAGAAUUUAAUUUUGAAUAUUUUAUUAGAGAUUAAACUAUUAUUUUUAGUUAAUAAAUUAUAAUAUAUGUUAAUAAUAAUUAUAUAUAGGAUUAGACAAAUUCGUCUAUUUAAUUUAUUUUAUAAUUUUUAAAAUAUUAUUUCGACCAAUCCGCAAAAAAUAGAUUUUAAACUUUAAAUUAUAUUUUAUUUUUUAUAAUAAUAAUUGAAUUGAUUUUCAAAAAUGAUGCUAAUUAAUUAUGAAAAUACAAAUGAAAAAUAUUGCAAAAUUUAAAUAGUUUUUCAUAUAUAUGGAUUGAUUAUUAUUUAAAAUAAUAGAAUAUAUUUUAACAUUUUAAUAAGUAAAAAGCAAAAUACAUUUUUUAUUUAUAUCCAUAUAUAUUCAAAACAAAUAUGUGAGCUAUAUAUUUAACUAUCUCUUGUGAAGAAAUAUUUAAUUAAAAAUUUUAUAUUUGUAAAAUUUAUUUAUUUAAUAUCUUUUAAGUAAAGGUUUAUUUAUGUAAUAUUUUAUAAAUAAAUAUUUAUUUAUGUAAAAUAUUCUGUAAUAUCUUACAAAUAAAAGUUUCUUUAUAAAAUGUCUAUUCAAAUAAUAAUGUAGAGAUGUAAUUUAAUUAAAGUCUAAUUGAUAUGAACUUCAUAAUUAUUAUAAAAAUAUGAUCAAUUCCAUGCGAGUGAAAAAGAUUUACAUAGUUAUCGUUUAUUUCUCAUACAAAACUAUUUUAAUUUUAAAGAGUAAAACGUAGCAGAAAAUGAAAACUGGAACUUUUUUAGAAUAUGACAGCUAGUUUUAAAAAUGGGAGAUGGCUACAAUACCGUUUCAAAAUAAUAGAUUAAAACUUAAUCCCAGAUAUCCGACUUGUUGAUGGUUUCUAUUUGCUUACGCACACUAAAUAUAUUAACACUCAAGAGAGGGAAAGUGUAAAUUGUAUUAAUGAAAGUGUUAGUGAACCGUAUUACAUUAAUUCCCUUUUAUAUACCAACUAGGUUAAGAAUAAAUACAUAUAUGUUAAUACAUCCCUCUCAAACCGAAUCAACCUUAGGUAGAAAGAGGUUUGAUAAUAAUACACGACUAAGCAAAAAAUGAAAUGGACCUAGAUGCAAAGGCUUCGUCAACAUAUCAGCAAGCUGAUUCGAAGUAGAGACAUGAAGAACAUUUAGGAAGCCAUUCUUCACCUGAUCUCGGGUUAUGUGGGAAUCAAUUUCCACAUGCUUAGUUCUCUCGUGAAAUACAGGGUUAUUGGCAAGAUUCAUAGCUGAUUUUUUUUAUCACAAAACAGGUUGGCUUCAGAAGUUACCGGGAUAUGAAGAUCAGUCAGUAAUUGGUGCAGCCAAAGUAACUCUCCCGUAGUAACAGCCAUGCUCCGAUAUUUGGCCUCCGUGCUGCUUCUAUUAACCAUUUCCUGUUUCUUGGACUUCUAGGUGAUAAGAGAUGUUCCAAGAAAUACACACAGACUCGUUACAGAACGACUGCAUCUGAAAAUCCAUUCAAGCAUAACUCUGUAGUAGCAUAAUAGAAAAAACCUUAGCCCAGAUUUUCUUCAAAUAUUUAAGGAUCUGGAAAGCAGCUUGAAAAUGAACAUUAGUGGGGAAAGACAGAUACUGACUCCACUGAUGCAGCGCAAAAGUGAUAUCAGGACGAGUAAUGCAGAGAUAUUGCAAUCGACCAAUCAAUUCGCGAUAUGAAGUUGUAUCAGAAAGAGACGUACCCGCGGACUGGAUCCAUCAAAACUGAUUUUGGUUUAUAACCAAGGAGACCAUAAUCUUCAAUAAGAUCCAAGCAGUAUUUCCUCUGUGAAACAGAUAACCCCGAAGCAUUCCUUGCAAUCUCAAGACUCAAGAAGAAAUGAGCUUGGCCAAGAUCUUUGGUCUUGAAUGGGAUUGUGAUAUAUUCAUAUCAUUUCGUGUUUAGGAUGCAUUUUUGGUCCAAGAAUAGAGCCUCAUGCAUACAUUUUAGAUAGAUUCUUCAUGUUUUCUUUGUUUUAGAGGUUUAGGACUUUGCAUUAGGUCCAAGUGAGUCUUGCAUGUUUGGAGUGUCAAUCAGGUGCUUUGGAGGUCAUCUGGAGAUGAAAAUAUGGAACCAGGUGAAGAAAUGGUGAAAGAAGGGCAAGAUAUGGUAAAAAUGAGGUUUUGGAGGUUAUCGGCAAAAUUGCUUACUGCGGGAAGAUUUUUAUCGGCCAAAAAUCAUUCCCGGGAAGCAGUUAUCGGCCAAAACAUGUACCAGACCAAGUCUGUAUCGGCAAAAAUCCUUUGUCGUGGGAAAAAAUGUUUAUCGGCUAAAAUACGUACCGCAGUACGUAACUUAUCGGCCAAAACGUGAAUUAUCGGCCAAAAGUUUCCCGACCCGAUAUGCUUCAAAGAUGCCUUUACCAGAAAGCUUUCUCGUCCGAUUCAGUUUCUAGUGUUUUCACAAACGUUCAAGAGAAUUGAGUCACAAUUCCAGAACAGUUGGAAUCAAUGGAUUUGGAGCAGUGAGCUGAAAGAUACGGCCAACAGAAGAUGAAUCUGCCUCGCAUCCAUUCUGGUCAUAUCCGAUGCGACUCAAAGAUCACUCAGGAUGAAACUCUUCCCUUCCAAUCUAGUUUCCGGGGCUCUAUCAAGAUUUGAGAGAUUCGAGUCAUAUUUCCAUAACGCUUAGAAUCAUUCCAUUUGGAGUGUUGAGUUGGGAGAUAUCGCAUUCGGGAGACAGACAUGCCCUGCAGUAAGAAACUAGAACCUCCCGAGCCAAUGCAAUGAUCCGUUUACCGGAAGGCCUCUCUCACCCGGGAUGCACUUAAGUUCUUCAUCAAAGUUGUAUGGAAUUGAGCUGCCUUUCCUCUGGAGUUUCUCUCGAGUCAUUUAGACUCAUAUCCCACAAGUUAUGCUAGCUCAAGUAAACAUAGAUCCGAGGAAAUGAGAAAUGCUGCGACAUGGCUUUGCGACUCGGUCAACUUGCAGCGAUGAAUGUUUAAAUUCUGGGAGCAAGCUGAGACUUGAAAUGAUGCGGGUGAGGUGACUCGGAGCAGGGUAAGGAUUUCCAAAGCUCAAAUAUUUCUAAGUCCAGAACAGCCUAUGACAUGGCAGUGCGAGAUUGAUGAUGAGAUGAACCAUGUCGCACACACACUCGCUUGGGGCCGCGACAUGACAGUGCGAGAUGGAUGAAGAGAAGUAACAUGUCGCACUCCUACUCUCUUGGGGCUGCGAACGUGAAGCUGUGAGUGGGAAAAGAAGGAUUUAAGCUGCAAGUACAAUUGCUUGAAUGAUACGACAUGAAAGUGCGGCUGAAGAAGCAAGGGAGCUGAGACGUAACAACAUUCACUUGGGGCUGCGAGAUGGCAGUGUAGGUGAACUGAAGCCAGGACCAUCUCGCACCAUGGCCACAUGACCCAACUGAACCAGGUCAGUACACAGUUUGUCUUGAGCUGACCCGCUCCAAAACACUUAGUAUAAAUAGCUUUUAGGGUUUUUUUCCAAAGAACAUCUCAUUUUCCUUUAGGUUUUUAGCCACUUUUGUGUAAGAGACAACUAAAGAGAGAUAUCUCCUUUCUUUUCUUUGAAUCAAAAAUGUUUGAGAGCUUAAUCUAUCUAUCUUAUCAUCAUUACUAUUCAUCAUCUUGUUUUCUCUAUCAACUAAUCAUGUUUAAUUACUUUUCUUGCAAAGGAAUCAGAGAGUUAAUCAUGAUUAGUGAGUAGUCGCGUCAUUAGGGUUCUAGAUAUGUAAGUUAGGGUGUUUAGAGGUUUGAUUAAGGCUGCUUAGGAUUAAAUUUAUACAUCUCUGUCUUGUUUAGCUGAUUUUAAUGCUUGGUUAUAGAUGAUCUCUCUAACCCAGAUUUUGGGCAUUUCAUCUACCCAAAACGUGUUUGAUGAAAUGCCUGAACCAGCUAAGUCAAGAGUCUAUUGUUUGAUUCACAUGAAAAUGUUGUUUUGAGCAUAGAUGGUAUAUUAGGAUUCGUGUUUAAUGCAUUCCUUUCAUUGUGACUCUAAUGAUGAUUAGGUAUGAGCAAUGUUUGGUAUUGUGUUUUGAUGCUUGAGAAAUAUUGAAACUUGAUUUGAAUCCUAAGCUGCUUAGAUCAUUCAUCAUCAUUGUCAUUAGCUCCUUGAUUAAACUAUGAUGCACCCUAGAAACUAUCAUGUCUAGAGCUCUAAGUUUCAUCAUAUUCAUAUCAUCUUAAUCAUUUUCUGUCUUUAUUUAUUGCUUGUUUAAUUCUUUAAUCUUGUUUAAUUGCAAUUCUGUCACUUGUUUGAAACUAAAACAUUUUGUUUGUUUGAAUUAAGAAUAGUUCAUAUAGAUUAGUGAACUAAACACCACACCUUGGAUUGAUAACCUUUGUACUACAACAGACAAAGGGAUUGAUACCCUAAGAGCCUUGAAAAAUCUUGUCUACCAUAUUGAGAGAAUCUUCUAAAUAGACUUGACAGCUUCAUCAUCAUUGCUCGCUAUAAGGAUGUCAUCGACAUAGAUCAGGAGAUAAAUAAAUAAUGUACCUGUUAGCUUCACAAAGAGGGUGUUAUAUGCAUAAGACUGUACAAAUCCGGCAUCAAGUAAGACCUUCGACAAACACUUGUACCAUUAACGAGAUGUCUGCUUCAAGUCAUAGAUGGAUUUAUCAAGUUUGCAAACCUGAUUAGCAGGCAGAUGAACAUCAGCUGGAGUGUAACAUCGUGGCAAGCUCAUGUAUAUCUCCUCAUCGAGCUUACUGUGCAAGAAAGCAUUGGUUACAUCCAUUUGGGUUAAGCUCCAACCCAUUCAUGCGGCUAAACCAAGGAUAAGCUUCACACUGGCAAGCUUGGAAACUGGGAAAAGGUGUCAAAGUAAUCAACACCUUUUUGUUUUGUGUAUCCCUUUGCUACCAGGCAAGCUUUAUAACGCUCCACAUUUCCAUCUGCAUUAUACUUAAUGGUAAACACCCAUUUACAACCAACAACAUUUUCCCUCGGAGGCAAUGACACAACACUCCACGUAUUGGUUGACUCCAUUGCUCCGAAUUCCAAAUUGAAAGCAUCAGUCCAUUCUUUGGAUGAAAUCACCUGCUUAAAGGUGUUAGGCUCAGUCUCCAUUGAAAAAGAGAGAACAAUAGACUGAUAUGGGGUGUUAAGAGUAGAGUAAGAGAGAACAGAAGAAAGAGGAUAUGGAGUAGUAUAAACCUUUAUAGAAAUGGGAGGAGUAGAAAUUUUUGUUAAAGAACAAUGAUAAUUGGACAAAUAACGUGGUACUUUUGUCGAGUGUUUUAGCCUGGCAUUGGGAAGUGAAACCAGAGCAUUCUCUGUGACAACAGGGUGAUGGAUUUUCCUUGGAGCACUAGAGUGAGAUGAUGAUGCAUGUGAUGUAUAAAGCGGAGGAGAAUGGAUGGUCACAGUAGAUGAAGGAUGCAAAUUAUUAGGCAGUGAAAUCACCUAAUCUAAUGCAACAAGAAUUGGCAAUGGUAAUAUAAACUCUAAAAAAAUAUCAGAAGAUGAACUAGAAAGAAGAUGCUCAGUAAAAGGAAAUAUUGUCUCAUGAAAAACAACAUUUCGAGAAACAGAGAUAAUUUUUGAAUCAAGGUUCAAGACAUUAGAAUACCCUAAGAGUACACAUCGAUCCACACGAGGACUAAAAUUAUGUUUAUCCUUCUGUAACGUAGAAACAUAACAUAAGCAGCCAAAAGAUCUUAAGAAUAAGUAAUCGGGCUUCUUAAGCAUAACCAACUCAUAUGGAGAUUUGUGUUUAAGAAUAACAGAAGGUAAUCUGUUUAUCAAAAGACAACUCCAAAUGAAGAUCCGCUUGCGGCUAUAGCUAGAUCUGAGAGUUGCGAAUAUGCUUACAAAUUUUCAGGCUGAUCCAAUCCGAUUUGCCUGUCUGUUUCUCUCUUACACCAUAACAGGUCGGAUCUGCCACCUAGAUGGUUACAAUGGCUUCGCCUUUAAGGUUCUUGGCCACAAGAUAGCUCUCUGAUCUCUUCUAAGACAUGGCUGCUCUAUUUAUAGAGUGGAGAAGAGAUACUUCUAAAUUUAGAGUUUUAGAGAGGAAAAUAAUGAAAAUGGGUUUGAGAGUUUUUCUGAUGGGUUUUGAGUAAUCAGGCUGAAAAAAAAAAAAAAAAUUAGACCAAACCCUAUUCUUGGGAUGUCACAGAUUUAUUAGAGAAUAUAUUUACAUGAGUUUAUAAUUAUUUGUAUGAUAUUUACAUGAGUUUAUAAUUAAAUCGUACAUUAACAUAGCAUCGUUAUUGGAUAGUUAGUCGGAUCGGUUCAACCGGUCAUACGAAAAGUUUGUUUAAUAUAUAUAUAUAUAUAAGAAAAUAAGAAUAGUUAUUUUAAGAAAAAUAAAGAAAAUAAAAUUAAUUUCUUUUAAUUAUUUACAACUGCCAGCCAGCGAUUACAUCCGUCGCUUGAAGAAACUUAUUAUCUAAAUGAAUAAAUAAACUUUUAAUUUAUAGCGGUUCUAAGCGUCACAAAGAGAUAAGAAACAAGUUCAACGGUUUUAGUGAUUGUUAUUAAACGUCACGAAAAUAUAACCGUAUGCAAACAUAGCGUAUGUGGCUGGCAGCGAGAAAACUAUCCAACACUAAAUAUUACAUAUUUACUUUAAAAUUCAUGCCUGCUUAUUACCAAACCAUAUUUUUACCAAUUUUAAUUGUGACAUUUAAUGUCCGCACAUGCGUACAGGCCAGUCAUAAAUCUGAUAUAUUGCAUUCACAUCAAUUUGUGUGUAUUUUUGUUUUGAUAUGUCUUCUGAUUUUUUUCUGUCCUAUGUAACCAUUUUUUGAUAAUUUUAAUUGGUUGAUCAUUAAUCUUUACGUGUCUUUUAAAAGUGAUGUGGUAUAAUCGUUUUAAUUAGAUUAUUAAAGCUCGUUUAAGAUUGUCUUUUUAAAAACGACAAAAAAAAUCGGACAAAGUAAGUAAUAAAAAUAAAUGUAUGACCCAUAUAUUUGAAAGUGUCACUGGCCCAAUGGCAGAAGUCUCCCUUAUGCAUUUGAAGGACAUGUGUUUGAACCAAGGUGGUAACAAUUUUUUAAAAAAUCGUAGAAUUUUAAAACGACAUCGUUUUGAGUUAACCUAACAGUAACAGCAGAGUUAACAGCGUUUAACUUUUCUGUUAACUUUAUAAACGGAGUGCUGAUUUGGCAAGUCAACGAAAAGUUUGUUAUUAUUUAUGGAAGUCAACAAAAAUUAAAUGUUUAUUUGGCUAGCCUGACAGUUCAUGCUUUUUUUUGGCAAAAUGUGGAAAGUUUAAGGUUUUUUUGGCCGAAUUCUCAAAAUAAACUCAUUAAAGUUCGUUUAAAUUGUUUUUUUAACCAAUAAACAUUAAAACCUGUUUAAGAUUGUCUUUCUAAAAACCAAUUAAAGUCUGUUUAUAGUUGUUUUUAUUAAAACCAAUGAACUCAAAAAACCUAAUAUACUUCUUCGAUACACUAAAUAUAUAUAUAUAUAUCCUCUCUAACAUAGUUUGUCUUUUAAUGUUCUCUUUUUCGGUAAACAUUACAUUUGCUUUUUUCUAUUAAUUUUAUUAACGUACGCUUGAGUUUGAGUUUGUUGCUUGUGCUUAUAAAUUUUUUUGUAACAAUUCCUAAUCUUUUUAAGAUUAUGAUUGAAAAUGUUAGUAUAAACAACCAUAGUUUAAAAAAUAGCAUCAAUGUUCACAUACUCGUGAAACAAUGUAUAGCAUCAAGUCUAUCAAUUUUUUUGGUCUCUUAUUUUAGAUUUGAUGCGGCAAAAAGAUUGCUUUGGGAACCAAGUCUUUUUUUUUGUUGGAAUUAUCUUCUAUUCUUGUCAGUUUUUAUUUUUCAUGCAAACGUUGACAUUAAAAUCUCUUUGUUAGAUUUGAUACCAUAUUAAAUUUCAAAUCUGAAUUAAUCAUUAUAUUUAUACAUUAUUAUUAUGGAUGAGUUUAUUUUCGUUAUCUGUAGCCCAAACUCUCUUCCCACGAAAAAAACGAUUAAACCAAUAAUAUUUAUUAUAAACAGGCCGAUAGACUUUAGUAUAAACAAGUUUCAAUAGCCUAAUUAUAACAAAAUUUGUCACAUCGCUUUAAAGCACGUAUAGAAUUAAUGAACGAACAAAAAAUAAAUACAUGACAUGUCAGGACAAAACGACACAUAAGAUUUUGGACUUCACAAAUAAUAGUAACUAGGAAUUAACAUGCACAUUGUGCGGGGUAAUGUUUUUAAGAAUUUUAAAUAUUUUUUAAAAAAAUUUUGGUUAAGUUAAAAAUUGGUAGCAAAAACCUUUUAACAAAAAAUAUAAAUAAAUAAAAUUGGUAGCAAUUAGAUAACUAUAUAUAUAUAUAUAUAUAUAAAUAUCAUACAACCGAUAUUUACGUGUAUAUGUAUCUAUUGAAAGAACUUUGAGCUAGUUUUGUUAUGCGGUGUAAUUAUUAGUAGUUUUUAAAUGUGAAGGUGAUGUGAUGUUAAUAUAUUCAUACUUAUAUACUGCUGGGAUAAAUUCGAUCCUUCCUACAUGGACGAACUGCAUGCUUGCACGUGGCGUCCAUGUUUUUUUUUUCAGGUACGGCCCCCCUGGGCCAAAUUAGGAUCCGUAGUGGGUCGUAAGCAUAUAGCACUGGGCCUCGAAUCCAUAAGGAUUCGGGAGAUCCGGUACGAUAGAUCACUUGUUCCCGGGUUCCUCGUAUCUAAUAGUGCAGGCCACGCUGUCAGAAGUAAGGAGGUCGAAACUGAGUGGUCAAGAGGAGGAGAAGUCCCAUUUUCUAUGUCCUAGGCCUAAACAUGGUAAUCCGGAAAGGUCGAGAUAUAAGGUAGUGUGGCCUACACAGGAUCUGGAGAGCGGAGUCAUCCAUCGAGACAACCCCGACAGCCCGGUCCCAGUAUCGAGGGAUCCAUGUCAGGUAUGAAAUAAUUUUAUGAGCGGAAAACACUAUUCAAAUUUUCCUCCAUUCGAUAAUAGGAAUAUGCCUUAGUAUGAUUUGAUUGCCCAUACUCUUACAAAACCAUGAAAUUGGCAUUUAAUGCACCCUUCUUACAUGUGUCAGGCGACAGCGACCUUUCACAGAAACUAGAGGAAAAGAAGAGGUUCAUCAAGAGUUAUACCGCGUAUGAACCGCCAACCCAAUCCGUACACUGGAGACGAAAGGAACAUGCUAAGGAGCGGUCUCGCAGCAGGCAGAACACGUCAAGGAAAGUUGGUGAGACCGUCAGAGGUAUGACGUGGGAAAAAGAUUUGAACCCAAUAAAAUCGGAUCGAGAACCGACCAACCCACCCGACUCGCUAUGCAAGGACAGACCCGGUAUACUAACCCGGGUCAGGUAAAAUCCUAUAAAUACAUUAUCCUUUCCAACAAGGAAGGAGAUCACUUUUAUUUGCUAUCUUAAGGCUCAUAUUAUCUCUCUAGAUACUUGUGAUCUUUGAGCCCUAACAUAUUAUACUUUCCGGUCAUUACUCAGAACAAUGUUUUAGUUCUUCUCCACGGCGGUUCCUAAAUCGUGGAGUAUUUCCACCCACAAACUCUUUCAUUUCUUCUCUUUUAACUAAUUCUUUAUAAGGAACGCUGGGCCCAUCUUUCUUCUCUCGUUUUCCGAACUCUUUCCUCUCUCCAAUUAGUCACUCUGUGAUCUUUCUUCACUGUUUUCUGACUUGAACGUCGGAGAACCUUCCGAAAACACACCAUCAUCGUGUUUUUUGGGCCUUCACGUGCUUUCUGUUUUUGCAAGAGACUUACCCCCACAAAGGAUCAAAAAUCUCUAAAUAGUUUAGCGCUAGAAAGAGGAGGGCAACACUCUUCUAUAGGAAGAACUGAAACCAUACACGACCUUGAAGGUAUGUCAUGACAAGAGAAGACGGAGGUAGCUCACCAGAGAACGACACCUUGGAGGGGAUGGAAGGAGAGAACAUCUGCUGGGUCGACAGACCGACCAAGCUAUUCUCGGGAUGCCCGAUGAUAAGGGGAACAUCUUUGGUUCCCCACGCCGCCGCCAAACGCACACUCAGAACUCGUCCAGAGUGUAGAAGAAAAUGCCCUGUAAAAUUCCUUACAUCCAAAAACCUUAGUGAAAGUGUUGGCAAACUGGUCAUUAUAUAUAACAAAUGAGUUAAAGACUCGUGGGCAAUGCCCAAUAAAGUCUGCCAUGGAUUGGUCCUGUACAACAGUUUUUAUAUCAAUUAAAAAGUGCAGGCCUCGUAGGUUGAUCGAUUGCAGUUUGCGGAUUAAACAAUUGGGAUCUAUACUAGUUUCGGCAAAGAUAAUUGACAAGAACGUCCAAAACCGGCUAAGUGAAAGACAACGUCUUGGAGACCAAAAGUAUGAAAGAAGCCUCAUGUAUUGGUUUGCCACACACAAAAAAAAAACUAUUUGUUUUUAGUUUCCAUUUUAUAAAAAAAAACUAGGUAUUUAGCCCUUUUUUGCAUGGGCAGAGAAGUUUAUUAAAUAAUACUAGGAGAGAAUCCGCGCGUAUGCGCAGAUCUUGUUUUAAUUUAUAUUUUGAAUAAUUUGUAUUGAAUUUUAUGUUUACUAUUAUUGUAUUUUUGUUUAGAAUAUUUAUAAUAAAUUAUUUGUAAUCUCUUCUACACCAGUUGUGUCAAAUAGUCUAAUUUUUUCUUCGAUCUUCAUAUUCUUUUUAUUCUUGUAAAUCUUACUAAUAUAAUAUUUGUUAAUUUUCUUAAUUUUCUAUUUGAAUUUUUUUGGUUAUAUAUAUUUUAUUGAUACCAUCUUUUUAUUAUUAAAAAAAUUAUAUAUGACAUUUUUAUGUGGAUACUUUUUUUUACUAUUAUUUUUUUAAUAACUUUUAUCUUUUUAAUAGUUUAUUAAAUAUGCUUUGUGUUUUAUACUUUUAUUAGUUGAAUUUUUAUAUAAGAUUAUUUGAAACUUUUUAAUUUAGUCAGUCUCAUAAUUUUUUUCACUUGCAUUAAAAUUUAAUUAUAUUUUUAGUUUGUAAAUGAAUUUUAAAACAUUUGAAAAAAGAAAAUAGAACUAUGCAAUUAAAAAGUCUUAUAUUAUAUAAUAGUUAUAAGUUUUUAUAUAUUAAAAUUAAAUUUUAAUUUUAUUCUAAUAUAAAUAUAUGUUAAUAUUUAUUUAUGUUUUUAAUGUGUUUGCUUUAAAUAUGAUUAAUUAAUUAUUUUGUUAAUAUUUGAAGAGGAUAGGUGGUGCUCUCUCCAGUGCUGACGUGUCGCUCAACUGGAGAGAGUUGGCCAAAUUUUAUAUAUAUGACUAGGAGAAUACAUGCACGUAAUAUGCGGGUUUUUUCUUUAAUUAUUUCAAAUUGAUAUAUUUUUGUAUUUUUCUUAAAGAAAUAUAGUCAUCAUUUCUUCUAUGUUACUAUAUAAUUAUAAAUCAAUCAAUUUAAAAUUUAAUAUUAUUAAAAAAUCAAGAGUUUAUACAAAAAAGCUAUCAAUGUUUUAGCAUAAAUUCUUGUUUAAUAUUUAUAUAACUGUUAUUUAAGAAUCAGUUAAUAAAAAAAAACUAUUUUCUUUGAAUGGUUGAGAAUUUAAUACUAAAAUUUAUUAAUCAAUUUUUUUUUGAUAAUUGUAACUUUAAAUUAAAAAUUGACAAAUGUCAUCUCUAUAUUAACUCUAAAAUGCUGAUGUGUCACUCAUAUAUAGAGAGUUAGCCAUCUUUUAUAUAUAAGAUUAUAAGUAAACAAUAUAUUUGGUAGUUUAAUCUUCAUCUCUAAAGUAAUCAUUAUUUGCAUAGAUUAGUUUUAUGCAUUAUUUUAUUCAUUCAACUUUUAGCCUCAAAUUUCUCCUUUUUUGGCUAAAUUGACUAUCCUUACUGAUUUUUAUCUUCUCGUAAGCGUAGACGUGAAACCAUUUUAUCCAGUUGUAUGUAACAAAUCAAUCUUUUUUGCUAGCUUUGAUACCAUAUUUAGUUUCAUCUCUGAAAAUUUCAUUAUAUAUACAUUAAGUUUAAAGAUGAUUUUAGUUCUUCAUUCUCUUGAAAUUUCUCCCUGUUUAACGAAAAUUGUCUCUCUUUGGUUGAUACUUAUCUUUUAUGCAAGCGUGGAUACAAAACUUUAAUAUCAUGUUGAUACCAUGUUAAACUUUUUUAAAAUUAUAGUCAUUAUUUAUAGACAUUAAAUAUAUAGAUUAUUGUAACUAGGUGAAUCUCCGCACGUUACGUGCAAGUUUUUUUUUCUUCAACUAUUUCAAAUUUCAAAUUCCUAAGAAAAAUGCAAUCCUACUUUAUUAUGUGUUAGAAUAUUAUUAUAAAUCGAUCAUUUAAAAUAUAAUAUUAUUAAAAAAUUAAGAUUAUACAAAAAAAAAUCCAUCAAUAUUUUUAAUUAAUUAUAACAUAAAUUCUUGUUUAAUAUUUACAGAAAUAUUAUUUAAGAAUCAAUUAAUAAAAAACUUUUCAUUUUCUUUUAGUGUUUUAAAACUUCAUAUAAAAUUUAUUAAUUAAUUUUCCUUAAAAACUUUUGUAACUUUAAAUUAAGAAAUAUGACACAUAUCAUCCCUAUAUUAACUCUCAAAUGCUGAUGUGGCAUUCGUAUGAAGAGAGUUGGCCUUCUUUUAUAUAUAAAAUUUUUCAUUCUCUCUAGUCGGAAAUUUCUUCCUCUUUUGUCGGAAUUGUCUUUUGUUCUUCUAUGUUUUUAUAUUUCAUGCAAGCGUGUACAUAAAAUUAUUAUAUCAGAGCGUAGGUAAACAAUUCUUUUGUUAGCUUUGAUACCGUGUUAAGUUUCAAAUCUGAAUUAGUCAUUCUUUUAUACAUUAUUUUUUAUGGACGAAUUUAUUUUCAUUCUCCGUAGUUCGAUCUCUCUUCCCACGGAAAGACGAUUAAACUAAUAAUAAGAAAACCGCAGACUUUACAUUGAAACGAGCUGCAGAUAAAAUUUAGAAUAAAAUGGACUUUAAUGAUCCAGUUAGUAUGAACUAUGACACAUCACUUUCAAAACACACAUAGUAUAAAUGAACAAUUUAUUAAAAAGCUAGCUUUAAUACCAUGUUAGAAAAUAAACUAAUCCUUUUUGCUAGCUUUGAUACCAUGUUUAGUUUCAUCUCUGAAUUUUUCAUUAUAAAUAUACAUUAAGUUUAAAGAUAAUUUUGGUUCUUCAUUCUCUAGAACUUUUUCUCUGUUUAACGGAAAUUAUCUCUAUUUGUCAGUACUUAUCUUUUAUGCAAGUACAGCCACAAAAUUUUGAUAUCAAAGCGUAGGUAAUUAAACAAUUUUUUUGGUAAUUUUGAUAUCAUGUUAAUCUUUAUCUUCAAAAUAGUCAUUGUUCAUAUACAUUAAUUUUAUAGAUUAUUUUAAUUCUUCAUUCUCUCUAGCUGGAAAUUUCUUUCUAUUUUGUCAAAAUUGUCCUUUAUUUUUUUGGUUUUCAUCUUUCAUGCAAACAUGGACAGAAAACUAUUAUAUCAGAGCGUAGUUAAACAAUUCCUUUGUUAGUUUUGAUACUGUGUUAAGUUUUGAAUCUGAAUUAAUCAUUAUUUUAUACAUUAUUUUUAUGGAUGAAUUUAUUUUUGUUCUCCGUAGUCUAAUCUCUCUUCCCACAGAAGGACGAUUAAACCAAUAAUAAGAAAACCAUAGAUUUUUUAAUUAAAUAAGACCGCAGAUAAAAAUUAGAAUAAAAUUGACUUUAAUGAUCCAGUUAAAAUGAAGUAUGAUACAUCACUUUUAAAAUACAUGUAGGAUAAAUGAAUGACCUAUUAAAAACAUUAAAAAAGUCAAUAAGUUAGAAAAUAAACUAACCACACAUCAGAUUUUUUGCUUCAGAAAUAUAUCGAUUGAAAAACAAUGUUGCACUUGAUGUACAAAUGGCUUUUGAUUGAAUAACUAUUACAUUCAAUUAAAAAAACAAUAACGCCUAGAGAGACUAGAAGUGCCUUUAACCAAAGUAAUUAACUAACCGUCAACACCAUAGAUGGCGCGAUGCUCUUCGACAGAGGAUCAAGACACAAGCUGCUGUUUUUGAGACUUCAAAGAUAUAGAACAACCACCAAACUGAAUAAUAGAAUCUGUAUAAUAACGUCUUGUUGUUGGGCAUCAUGCCCGGCCGGAACUGCCCCAUGCAAUAAGAGACAGAUGAGUCUUAGCUUUUAAAAGAAAACCAUGUCACAGAUUGCCUUUGACCUUGAGUAAACAUAUAAACCUUGUUGUUGCAUCCCAAUGAGUCUGUUUUGGUUCUUGCAUGAACUAAGCAACAAUGUGGACCAGUGUUAAUCUGCAGGUUCAGGAAUUGUACCUCUUUUAACUAAAGCAAGACGUACGAUGGUUCUUCUCCAGAGGCACAGGUCUCCGAAAUGAUAUUAUGAUGGUCACAAAAUGUGAAAGCAGUUUUAAAAAUGUUUCCUACCUAAAAUCCCAAGCGCAAGGCUGAAAUCGAAGUAGUACUAGGUACAAAUUCACAGGGAGGAAGCAGAGUCGACCCUUGGCCAAUCCAAGAAAGCCUAUACUUCCGGCUGAUUCUUUUAUAAAAAAAUAUUUGGUCCUCAAUUAUUCAAAACUUGUCUUAGUCUGGUCAGACUGAUCGUAAAGUCUUAUGUGGCGCUUUUAGUCCCCAUUCCGUGUUCGAAUCUGCAAAUUGCCUUAGUUGUUGGGUCUAUAUGAAAAACGUUGAGAGUCUUUAGAUUUCUGGUAGUCUAUACUCUUAAGGGAAAAAUAAACUUCCUUGGCAGCCUGUUAUAAUCUUAUUUCUUGGACCCAACAGUACGAACAAUGAAAUCGCACUACACAAAACCAAAGAGAAUAUAAUACAGAGACAACAUAAACAACAAACGAUAUUAUUAUGCAAAGAGCAGACAUUACAACUCGAACACUGAGACAUUACAUUAUGAAACUUUAUUCCCAUAGAUUCUUUUUCUUGAGUUACUUCAUUACAAACUCACCAUGGUUCACUUAUAGUCAUACACACGUAUAACUGUAUUAUAUAGAUGUAGCCAUGCAUGGUGGUUAAUAUAAUAUGAAGUUUUUAGUUACCAGGCUGAGUCUCAACUGCUUCUACUCCGUGCCCUCCUCUUCCUCCGUGUCCACCGCGUCCUCCUCUUCCUCCUUUGUAUCCUCCCCCUCCUCCUCCGUAGUGUCCCCCUCCUCCUCCGUAGUGUCCUCCUCCUCCUCCUCCUCCGUAGUGUCCUCCUCCUCCGUAGUGUCCUCCUCUUCCUCCUCCGUAGUGUCCGCCGCGGCCACCACCAUAUCCAUCAGGUUUCACAGUUUCCUCACUCUCUGACUUCACCCCUGUCCAAAAAAAUAUAGAAAAAUCACAUUAUUUCAAAGAUAUUGUUUAGCACGUGCAAAUGUUCUUUCCUCUCCCCGAUUUCAAAAACGAAAUUUCUCUUAUAAACAUUUUAAAAUAUGUAUCGAAUCUCUUGUUUAGAAUAAAGAAUUAUGAGUUUCAAAAUUAAAUAUACGUUCUAUAUAAAAUUUUCACCAAUAUACGUAAGUGUCUUUUAUUACUAGGACAUCAACAUCGUACUUAAGUGUGUUUUUUGACUUAUAAGUCCAUAUAGUUGACCUUCGUUCAAAUCAACCUUCCGGACUUAACACGGACGAAAUAGACAAAUAGAGACAAUAUUAUCAAAUAUGGUACGUUUGUUUGGGUUCGAUUAGCUUCACGAACAUUUAUUUUGUUUCUAUAAAAUAAUUUUAUUUACCCGAUGAUUGCCUUUCUGCGGCAACUUCUGAGACGACGAGAAGUAAUGCAAAGAGACCCAAAAGAAUCAAAGCUUUGGAAGCCAUUUUCUUCUACUGCUUUUAAGUUUAUAACACUCUUUU
RNAcentral lists this long non-coding RNA (17900 nucleotides) under Eutrema salsugineum. RNAcentral's name for it is "long non-coding RNA (ESAL_LNC000709)". Lineage: Eukaryota; Viridiplantae; Streptophyta; Magnoliopsida; Brassicales; Brassicaceae. The record is from RNAcentral.